UUGAUCCUGCCGGAGGUCACUGCUAUCGGGGUUCGACUAAGCCAUGCAAGUCGAGAGGGGUAAAGCCCUCGGCGAACUGCUCAGUAACACGUGGAUAACCUGACCUAGGGUGGAGGAUAACCCCGGGAAACUGGGGAUAAUACUCCAUAGGCUACGGAAGCUGGAAGGCUCUGUAACCGAAAGCUCCGGCGCCCUAGGAUGGGUCUGCGGCCGAUUAGGUUGUUGUUGGGGUAACGGCCCAACAAGCCGAUCAUCGGUACGGGUUGUGGGAGCAAGAGCCCGGAGAUGGAUUCUGAGACAUGAAUCCAGGCCCUACGGGGCGCAGCAGGCGCGAAAACUUUACAAUGCGGGAAACCGUGAUAAGGGGACCCCGAGUGCCUGUACACGCAGGCUGUUCAGGUGUUUAAAGCGCAUCUGGAGAAAGGGCCGGGCAAGACCGGUGCCAGCCGCCGCGGUAAUACCGGCGGCUCGAGUGGUGGCCACUAUUACUGGGCUUAAAGCGUCCGUAGCCGGGUUGUUAAGUCUCCUGGGAAAUCCAACGGCUCAACCGUUGGGCGGUCAGGGGAUACUGGCAAUCUAGGGAUCGGGGGAGGUGAGAGGUACUCUAGGGGUAGGAGUGAAAUCCUGUAAUCCUUGGGGGACCACCUGUGGCGAAGGCGUCUCACCAGAACGACUCCGACGGUGAGGGACGAAAGCUGGGGGAGCAAACCGGAUUAGAUACCCGGGUAGUCCCAGCUGUAAACGAUGCGCGUUAGGUGUAUCGGUGACUACGAGUCACCGAGGUGCCGAAGGGAAACCGUGAAACGUGCCGCCUGGGAAGUACGGUCGCAAGGCUGAAACUUAAAGGAAUUGGCGGGGGAGCACCACAACGGGUGGAGCCUGCGGUUUAAUUGGAUUCAACGCCGG
RNAcentral lists this ribosomal RNA (906 nucleotides) under uncultured archaeon. Its description in RNAcentral is "bacterial SSU rRNA". It matches the Rfam family "Archaeal small subunit ribosomal RNA", at positions 8 to 921 of the family's 1478-position model. The record is from RNAcentral.